UUUAGUAUCAAAAGAAUUCGUGCCAGCAGCCGCGGUUAUACGAUUGAUACAAGUGAAUAUUAUUGGUUAAAACAGUUGUUUAUAUAUUAGGGUUGAAAUAUAAAUUUGUAAGGUGAAAUGUUAAAAUUUAUUUGUGGCCCUUUUUAUGAAUCUGUGAAAUUUUAAUAAUAAACUAGGAUUAGAUACCCUAUUAUUUUAAAUGUUAAUUAUAUUUACCAGGGUACUAUUAGUUAAGGUCUUUAAACCCAAAGAAUUUGGCGGUAUCUCAUUCCAUUCAGAGGAACCUACCCCAUGAUUGAUAAUACACGAUUUACUCUACUUAAUUUAUUUGUUUGUAUAUCUCCGUUAUCAGAGAAUCUUUUUAGAGUUAUAAUUCUCAAGAUUUAUAAUUAUAAAAUAUUUCAGGUCAAGGUGCAGCUUAUAGUUAAGAGCAGGUGGGUUACAAUAGAUUUUAGUUUAUAACGGAUUUGAUAGUGAAAUACUGUUAAUGAAGGUGGAUUUGAUAGUAAUUUAAUUUAUUUAAUUUAACUGAUAUUGGCUCUGAGAUGUGUACACAUCGCCCGUCG
This is a long non-coding RNA of Schistocerca gregaria, 566 nucleotides long. RefSeq lists it as uncharacterized. Lineage: Eukaryota; Metazoa; Arthropoda; Insecta; Orthoptera; Acrididae. The transcript has 2 exons. The record is from RefSeq and is a predicted model, not a curated record.